Molecule: long non-coding RNA, 578 nt
Organism: Lolium rigidum
Lineage: Eukaryota; Viridiplantae; Streptophyta; Magnoliopsida; Poales; Poaceae
Exons: 3
Source: RefSeq, a predicted model, not a curated record
AAUCAAGUGCAAUAUGAAGUCGUUGUUCCCAAUUCAAACUAUAGUCAUCUCCUGCAUCAAGACAUGCCAGAUUAAUGGGCCUAAGUUCCAACGAAGAUAUGAAUGGAGUUCCUGAACCAAAGUUUAUCAGACAGACGGACACGGAGUUGUCCGGAGCAACAGUGAGCACCUCCUUCCAUACUAUGGAGCAGAGCAUAAAGAGGAGCAGGACCUAGAAGGAAAAAGGUAGGAGGAUAUGGCUUGUAUUACCAGAUUGGCCGUGGACUUGAAUCAUCAUCACCAGGAUGAGCAGCAGCACCAUGAUCCAUGUCAGUUUUCUACUUUCUGAGGAAAUGAAGGUGAUCACCAUGGUACUGUUCUGUUCUCUUCUCCCAAAGUCUGCAAACAAGAAACAGUUGCUACGAGUGACUUGGGAAGCUAUAUAGCAGAGGAUAACAACUAGCACGGUUUAGCAUUUUUUUAUUGAGCAGAUGUAAAGAAAUCUGGUGUGUUUUGUCCUUAAGUAGGUAACCUGCUCUUAAUAGAAAUGCAACUUGCAUUGAUCUAAUGAAAAAUAGGGACUGCCAUGGAGCUUCGUU